RNAcentral lists this non-coding RNA (90 nucleotides) under human gut metagenome. RNAcentral's name for it is "Purine riboswitch". The stretch from base 16 to 81 matches the Rfam family "Purine riboswitch aptamer", at positions 20 to 86 of the family's 102-position model. Rfam says of the family: Riboswitches are metabolite binding domains within certain messenger RNAs that serve as precision sensors for their corresponding targets. The record is from RNAcentral.
AAUGUUUUACAUGAAUUCGUAUAAUCCCAAUAAUAUGGAUUGGGAGUCUCUACCAGGACCCGUAAAAUUCCUGAUUACGAAGAAAGCUUA